Long non-coding RNA from Nilaparvata lugens (brown planthopper), 428 nucleotides. RefSeq lists it as uncharacterized. The record is from RefSeq and is a predicted model, not a curated record. Lineage: Eukaryota; Metazoa; Arthropoda; Insecta; Hemiptera; Delphacidae. The transcript is spliced from 2 exons.
CUGUGUGUUUGCAACAUGUGUGUUUUUCCAAUUUUCCAGUCAAAAAAUAUUAUUUGAAAUAUGUUUAAUUAUAAGUAAACUUUUGUUUCAUCUCUGAUAGGAGUUGUGGUGAUGAAAUUUUCCAACACAAAAGAAAAAGACAUAGAAGCAGUACAGUAAUCAAAUACUGGCUGAAGUCUCCAAAAACUCGGUUUACCAGCAAAGAGAAAUCUAAAAAUGUUCAAACACCGGAUCAUGGAGGAAAAUCUGAAUGCUACAAAAAUUGAGAUUGAAUUGAGGUACAGUAACAUGAACCAGUAUGUAGCUCAAAAAAUUGCUACUUUAAACAGGAAGAGAUUAAAGUAUUCUGGAGCACCACAAUAAGGACCUUUCUUAAUAGAUAAAUGACAUGCAUAUGAGUUAUUUUAAUAAACAAACUUCUCACAUUA